AUUAUUUGCUUAUAUCAUAAUAGACAGAACAAAAUUAUAGAUCUAAAUAAUUGAGAGCACUGAUUGUGAAUAUGAACAAGACCAGAUGCACUGAAUUUUGCAUGCUGCACCCUUGAGGACCACACCACCCAUGGAAGGGCUGCUGCAGCACUUCCUUGUGAAAACAGAUGGUGCCAAUUGUUCCUGUAAGACAAAAGACUAAAAGAAGAUGUCUGUCUGAGUUAGAUUACAUUCCAGAGAUCUGACCCUGCCACAGGGCUGGCAGAAUGACCGUGAUCCAAAAUCACAUUGUGCUUCAGUAACAGGAUUCUCCAAGAGAUACCUUUUGAAAUGGAGCCUUGUGUUGGACCAGAUGGUGGCCCUGGAUUUCCAUUGUUCCUCUUGGCUCUCUAGUGUUAUGCAGAUUUCUAUACUGCUUUAUAUUUUCUCACAGCAUUGCCUAGUAUUUACAUUCAGUUAACUCUGAUGGAGAAAAUGAAAAAGCCAAGCAUAAAGAAGCUACAGAACACUUGUUUGUGGCUGAAGUGUGUGUGUGCACAUUAAGGGUGAUACUAAAGGUGUGCUAAACA
Long non-coding RNA from Parus major (Great Tit), 569 nucleotides. RefSeq lists it as uncharacterized. The transcript has 2 exons. Lineage: Eukaryota; Metazoa; Chordata; Aves; Passeriformes; Paridae. The record is from RefSeq and is a predicted model, not a curated record.